AUCAAACCAAAUUUUUUCAGCUUAAUACAAAAACAUGCUAAUCUAACUUAAACCUUCGUUGUGCUGGUUUGCAGAAUUAUACUGAAAAUGCAUCCAAAUUCAUGUCAAGUGCACUUAGCUUAUGCAUGAUUGGUAUUGAAACCGGGAAAAAGCAAAAUGAUCUAUUAUUAUGAAAAAGAGUAAGACGAAUCAUAUAAUCAGAGUCCGC
This 208-nucleotide long non-coding RNA is filed under the name Vigna radiata. RNAcentral describes it as "long non-coding RNA (VRAD_LNC014131)". The record is from RNAcentral. Lineage: Eukaryota; Viridiplantae; Streptophyta; Magnoliopsida; Fabales; Fabaceae.